This 75-nucleotide transfer RNA is filed under the name Ralstonia sp. Its description in RNAcentral is "tRNA-Met". It matches the Rfam family "tRNA". From Rfam's summary of the family: Transfer RNA (tRNA) molecules are approximately 80 nucleotides in length. Their secondary structure includes four short double-helical elements and three loops (D, anti-codon, and T loops). Lineage: Bacteria; Pseudomonadati; Pseudomonadota; Betaproteobacteria; Burkholderiales; Burkholderiaceae. RNAcentral also lists the same sequence under 1 other name. The record is from RNAcentral.
CGCGGUAUAGCGCAGCGGAAGCGCACCGGCCUCAUAAGCCGGAGGUCAGCGGUUCGAAUCCGCUUGCCGCACCCA